Molecule: ribosomal RNA, 497 nt
Filed under: uncultured bacterium
Lineage: Bacteria
Description: partial 16S ribosomal RNA
Rfam family: Bacterial small subunit ribosomal RNA
Source: RNAcentral
GACGAACGCUGGCGGCGUGCCUAAUACAUGCAAGUAGAACGCUGAAGAGAGGAGCUUGCUCUUCUUGGAUGAGUUGCGAACGGGUGAGUAACGCGUAGGUAACCUGCCUUGUAGCGGGGGAUAACUAUUGGAAACGAUAGCUAAUACCGCAUAACAAUGGAUGACACAUGUCAUUUAUUUGAAAGGGGCAAUUGCUCCACUACAAAAUGGACCUGCGUUGUAUUAGCUAGUAGGUGAGGUAACGGCUCACCUAGGCGACGAUACAUAGCCGACCUGAGAGGGUGAUCGGCCACACUGGGACUGAGACACGGCCCAGACUCCUACGGGAGGCAGCAGUAGGGAAUCUUCGGCAAUGGGGGCAACCCUGACCGAGCAACGCCGCGUGAGUGAAGAAGGUUUUCGGAUCGUAAAGCUCGGUUGUAAGUCAAGAACGAGUGUGAGAGUGGAAAGUUCACACUGUGACGGUAGCUUACCAGAAAGGGACGGCUAACUACGUG